Molecule: long non-coding RNA, 600 nt
Filed under: Equus asinus (donkey)
Lineage: Eukaryota; Metazoa; Chordata; Mammalia; Perissodactyla; Equidae
Description: lncRNA (ENSEASG00005038106.1)
Source: RNAcentral
UGGGAAGCCAGCCGCCAUCUUGUGGAGACACUUGGGCAGCCCACUGGGGAACUGAGGCCUCCUGCCCACAGCCCCAUGUGAGUGAGCCAUCUGGAAAGGGGGUCUUCCAGUCUACCAAGCCUUCAGAUGGCUUCAGCCCUGGCUGACAUCUUAACUGCACCCUCACGAGAGACCUUGAGCCAGAAUAACCCAGCUGAGCCUCUCCCAAGUUCCUAAGCCACAGAAACGGACGCCUGGCCGGGGAGUGUGCGAUGGGAUUUCGCUUUUCCCGGGGAAGCUGGAGAGGAUGCAACCGACAGCUCGGGGCGCGGAGGAGGAGGCAGUGGCGGGGAUCCGGGCUGGCUGCCUCCCGAGUCUGUGCGUCGCACUGAGGCACCGGGCUGUCUCAACAGUAGCUCUGGCUGCAAAGUGAUCCGCCCAAGAAAAGAGAUGGCUCAGAUGUGGAGGCUGAAAGAGAAACCUGAGAAAGAAAAGCAGAGGGAGGAGAAGCGGAUGAGGAAUCUUGUCAUCGAUGCUGCGGCACCAUUCCGUUCUUCGGUGUCUGUGCUGCUGUGACAUCAUAUCCUGUUGAUAAGGGACCCUUGCCACAUCCCAGUCUUC